Molecule: ribosomal RNA, 925 nt
Filed under: Bacillus sp. (in: firmicutes)
Lineage: Bacteria; Bacillati; Bacillota; Bacilli; Caryophanales; Bacillaceae
Description: bacterial SSU rRNA
Rfam family: Bacterial small subunit ribosomal RNA
Source: RNAcentral
GGCCAUUGGCGGCGUGCUAUACAUGCAGUCGAGCGGACAGAAGGGAGCUUGCUCCCGGAUGUUAGCGGCGGACGGGUGAGUAACACGUGGGUAACCUGCCUGUAAGACUGGGAUAACUCCGGGAAACCGGAGCUAAUACCGGAUAGUUCCUUGAACCGCAUGGUUCAAGGAUGAAAGACGGUUUCGGCUGUCACUUACAGAUGGACCCGCGGCGCAUUAGCUAGUUGGUGGGGUAAUGGCUCACCAAGGCGACGAUGCGUAGCCGACCUGAGAGGGUGAUCGGCCACACUGGGACUGAGACACGGCCCAGACUCCUACGGGAGGCAGCAGUAGGGAAUCUUCCGCAAUGGACGAAAGUCUGACGGAGCAACGCCGCGUGAGUGAUGAAGGUUUUCGGAUCGUAAAGCUCUGUUGUUAGGGAAGAACAAGUGCGAGAGUAACUGCUCGCACCUUGACGGUACCUAACCAGAAAGCCACGGCUAACUACGUGCCAGCAGCCGCGGUAAUACGUAGGUGGCAAGCGUUGUCCGGAAUUAUUGGGCGUAAAGGGCUCGCAGGCGGUUUCUUAAGUCUGAUGUGAAAGCCCCCGGCUCAACCGGGGAGGGUCAUUGGAAACUGGGAAACUUGAGUGCAGAAGAGGAGAGUGGAAUUCCACGUGUAGCGGUGAAAUGCGUAGAGAUGUGGAGGAACACCAGUGGCGAAGGCGACUCUCUGGUCUGUAACUGACGCUGAGGAGCGAAAGCGUGGGGAGCGAACAGGAUUAGAUACCCUGGUAGUCCACGCCGUAAACGAUGAGUGCUAAGUGUUAGGGGGUUUCCGCCCCUUAGUGCUGCAGCUAACGCAUUAAGCACUCCGCCUGGGGAGUACGGUCGCAAGACUGAAACUCAAAGGAAUUGACGGGGGCCCGCACAAGCGGUGGAGCAUG